GAGAAAAAUAUUCAUUUUCAAAAUGGGGUGUUCUCAAUUAUGCUGAGCACUGUAUAUUAUUUUAGGAUGGGUGUCCCAUGCACAUAACAUCAGUGAAAGAUUAUUAAAAAAUUUCAACCAGACGAUAAUACAUAUAUUUUGCUUAAUGCAGUGGCGUUCAUACACUUUCAGAGCCGUUUCCAAAUGUCUUUUUUUCACUCCAUUACGUGAGGUGGCGCUCUUAACCUUAUUCAUAUGAACGUCUAAAAAUGUGUCCAUGUGCGAGGAACUUCCACCCGGGUGUUUCAGAUCUCCGUGCGUCAACCACCCAAGCAUUUACACCUGAAUGGAGUUUUCAGAGGAGAAGGUGAGAAUCCCGUUCGAGCAGAAAGAGCUGGAUGGCUUGUUCUCGGUACCCGAUGACGUCACGGCGGGCAUUCCAGC
Non-coding RNA from Danio rerio (zebrafish), 423 nucleotides. Lineage: Eukaryota; Metazoa; Chordata; Actinopteri; Cypriniformes; Danionidae. The record is from RefSeq and is a predicted model, not a curated record.